Macaca fascicularis (crab-eating macaque) is the source of this 828-nucleotide long non-coding RNA. The record is from Ensembl. Lineage: Eukaryota; Metazoa; Chordata; Mammalia; Primates; Cercopithecidae.
UGUGAUUUGAUCCUAAAAGUGCUGUUAAUUCAACGCAUUGGCCACAUUUGUCUGAAGGAACAAGGCCAGGGUGGACAGAGCUGCUGAUGGAGGACCUGUGAUGGCCUGGAGCCCAGCCCAGCUUGUCAGCUGUAGGUGGGACUUCCCAGACCCAACCAACACAAAGCUCCGCCACAGAGAGGAGACAGCCAUGAACUUGAGUACAGGAAAAUUAGAUCCUGACACAUAUUCAAGGAACCUGCUGCAGCUGUUUCUCCAAGAACAGAGAGCCUGGGGAUGUCCCAUCUUCAGCCCAUCAAGUCCCAAGUGCUUAGUCACCUGCUCAGCCCAGACAUGAGGGAUGCCAUCAAAGAAAAGCAAACAAUAACACACCCGUGACAAAGCCAUUUACUAAAUUAAUAGAGGCAAGGAGCAUAAAACCCUGAAAGAACGAUUAAACCUUGCAUUUGCUCCAAGCCUAUUCCUUUUCCACAUCUGCAUUUGCCAGGUCAUCUGCUCCUAACAGUCUUAUCCUUUUUGUGCCAUGAACCCCUUUGGUAGUUUGGUGACUGCCAAUAACAAAUCAAAUAAAAUAAUACAUAGAAUUACUGUCUUAAUCUGUUUUCCGUUGCUAUAACAGAAUAUCACAGACUGGGUAAUUUAUUUUUUUAAAGAAAGGUUAUUUAGCUCACAGUUCUGGAGGCUGAGAAGUCCAAGAGCAUGGCACCAGCCUCUGGCGAGGGCCUUUGUGCUGCAUGAUGAUGCAUCCCAGCAUGGGACAUGGUGAGAGAGCAAGAGCGAGAGAGCCAGAGAGAGCUCCAUGUUAUAACAAAAUCACUCCUGUGAUAA